RNAcentral lists this ribosomal RNA (512 nucleotides) under uncultured bacterium. Its description in RNAcentral is "bacterial SSU rRNA". It matches the Rfam family "Bacterial small subunit ribosomal RNA", at positions 28 to 531 of the family's 1533-position model. The record is from RNAcentral.
GACGAACGCUGGCGGCGUGCCUAACACAUGCAAGUCGAGCGGAGUCGAUCGACGGAAGCCUUCGGGCGGAAGAUGGUUGACUUAGCGGCGGAUGGGUGAGUAACGCGUGGGCAACCUGCCUCGAAGACCGGGAUAACAGCCCGAAAGGGCUGCUAAUACCGGAUGUGGUCAAGGAUCCGCAUGGAUUUUUGAUUAAAGGGGAAACCCGUUUCGAGAUGGGCCCGCGUCCUAUCAGCUAGUUGGUGAGGUAAAAGCUCACCAAGGCGACGACGGGUAGCCGGCCUGAGAGGGUGACCGGCCACACUGGAACUGAGACACGGUCCAGACUCCUACGGGGGGCAGCAGUGGGGAAUCUUCCACAAUGGGCGAAAGCCUGAUGGAGCGACGCCGCGUGAGCGAAGAAGGCCUUCGGGUUGUAAAGCUCUGUCUGGAGGGACGAAGGAAGUGACGGUACCUCCGGAGGAACGCCACGGCUAACUACGUGCCAGCACGCCGCGGUAAUAGUACUCUAU